AGCCGUGUGGUAAGCACACAUCGUACUAUUCUUUCGCAUUUACUAAAGAAUACUGUGUUCUUGCCGCAAUUCAGCGAUAUACUAUGGUGAAUAAACUUCUUGAUACUGAAUUUAUUGGAAGA
Papaver somniferum (opium poppy) is the source of this 122-nucleotide small nuclear RNA. RefSeq annotates it as U5 spliceosomal RNA. The transcript has a single exon. The record is from RefSeq and is a predicted model, not a curated record. NCBI's taxonomy places the organism in Eukaryota, Viridiplantae, Streptophyta, Magnoliopsida, Ranunculales, Papaveraceae.